GAUGAACGCUGGCGGCGUGCUUAACACAUGCAAGUCGAACGGGAUCCAAGGGGUGCUUGCACUUUUUGGUGAGAGUGGCGAACGGGUGAGUAACACGUGAGUAACCUGUCCUUUUCUUUGGGAUAAGCAUUCGAAAGGGUGUUUAAUACCUUAUGUUCUGUCUGCCUCGCAUGGGGUGGGUGGGAAAGGCUUUGGCCGGAUUUGGGUGGGCUCGCGGUCUAUCAGCUUGUUGGUGGGGUGAUGGCUUACCAAGGCUUUGACGGGUAGCCGGCCCGAGAGGGUGGGCGGUCACAGUGGGACUGGGAUACGGCCCAGACUCCUGCGGGAGGCAGCAGUGGGGGAUAUUGCACAAUGGGCGAAAGCCUGAUGCAGCGACGCCGCGUGGGGGAUGAAGGCCUUCGGGUUGUAAACUUCUUUUGCUCUGAACAAGGCAUGCCAGUGGGUGUGUUGAGUGUAGGGGUUGAUUAGCGCCGGCUAACUACGUG
RNAcentral lists this ribosomal RNA (485 nucleotides) under uncultured bacterium. RNAcentral describes it as "partial 16S ribosomal RNA". It matches the Rfam family "Bacterial small subunit ribosomal RNA", at positions 28 to 507 of the family's 1533-position model. The record is from RNAcentral.